CUAUGGCAAGAACAAAAGUGGAAAUAGCCACUUCAAGGACUGCACAUGCAAGAGCUACAGCAGAUGCUGCUGAUCAGGCUGCCCUUUCUGCCCACCAAGAAUGUGACAUUGCAAGGGCUGUUGUAAGAGAGCUUUCACCAAAUUUCUAUCAACCAGGUCCUGACUAUAUCAAACAGAGAUUUUAGGAAGGCAUAGAAACUAAAGAAAAUCCAGAAGAAAAGUCCCAGAAAAGCCACCUUCACCAAAGGAAUCUCCUCAUUUUUCUAGGAAAGGCACAACUCCCCCCAGAUCUCCUGAGCCAAGUUUAAAAUCAAACCACUCUCCUCAGCCUUCCUCCCCCAUGAAAAAGCAAAACCCUAGCUCAGGGGCAAGACUCAAUCAAGAAAACAAGAGUAUUGAUGAUGAGCAUGUAACAGCAGUUGUCAACAAGUCCCUACUUUCAAAGGUACCCCUAAAGGAGGAGGUAACGGUAUUGCCUCAGUCCAAAUACUCUGGCCAACAAAAUACCUCCUUCCAUUCUGGUAAUGGGGAGUUGCAUUCACAGUAUCAUGGCUAUUAUGUGAAACUGAAUGCACCAUUGCAUGAAUUAUUUACAGUAUGAUACAGUAGAAAAGAGGUGAAGGCCUGAACUAGGAUCAUUUCAGUGGUAGCAUGAAGAAGAAGACAAAGACGACAAGGAGGACAAGGAGGAAGAUGGAAGUGUGAACCAGUCUUCUUUGGCACUGGUACCCAAGCAACCACAUCAGAAGUCAAGUCCCCCUAAGUCCAUGACAAAACUAGUUGCCAAAGAAAGCAAACCUGAACCAAAAGUGAAGAAGUAUGAACUUGCCACACGAAAGAAUCCAGCAAAUGAUUCAUAUUCUUCUUUGGAAAAAGAAGAUAAUUCACUCCAGGUGCAAGCAAUGGAGACUUCACAUAUAGAACUCAAGUCAUGGCGAUGUGGAGGCAGAAUUCCAGAAAAGAUUUUGCUACCAGCCCAACAAGAAGGGUCUAAGAACCUUGGGUGCCCAAUAUUGAAGCCUAAGGAGGGUUUGGGACUUGGAACUUGUAGGACUAUGCUAUACAGAAAUCCAUUUAAACUCUGUACCCAAUUAUCUCAUUUCCUCAUAAAUUGAUAUGCUAUAAGAGGCAAUUAGUGGGCAACUAGGUGGCUCAGUAGAUUGAGAGCCAGACCCAGAGACAGGAGGUCCUGGGUUAAAAUCUGGCCUCAGACACUUCCUAGCUGUGUGACCUUGGACAAGUCACUUAAACCCCAUUGCCUAGCUCUUACCACUCUUCUGUAUAGGAAAAAAUACCCAGCAUCAGUUCUAAGAUAGAAGGUAAGGAGAGAGGGGGGUGGAGGAGG
This 1345-nucleotide long non-coding RNA is filed under the name Monodelphis domestica (gray short-tailed opossum). Its description in RNAcentral is "lncRNA (ENSMODG00000044502.1)". Lineage: Eukaryota; Metazoa; Chordata; Mammalia; Didelphimorphia; Didelphidae. The record is from RNAcentral.